RNAcentral lists this long non-coding RNA (903 nucleotides) under Physcomitrium patens. RNAcentral describes it as "long non-coding RNA (PPAT_LNC004324)". Lineage: Eukaryota; Viridiplantae; Streptophyta; Bryopsida; Funariales; Funariaceae. The record is from RNAcentral.
GUGACCUCAAAUAUAAAAGAUAGUUAAAGACUUUGUAUAAUCAUGUGAUAUUUGUUGAAGAUAAAAAAUUCGUCAUCAUCAAUCUUACUGUGUCGUAAUACGUGAAGUCUUGUUUGAGAAUGCUUCGGGCACCUAAUUGUGGAAGGUAGAAUGGAAAUUGCAACAAUAAAAUCCUAAUUCUAAUAAAAUACUAAUUAAACUCUAAUUAGACUAUAAUAAUGCUAAAUAAGCUUUAAUCAAAUUUAAAGAAACCUCAAAGAAAUUUCAAAGAAAUAAUAAAAAAUAUUAAAAAAAUAUUAGAUUGAUCACAAAUAUAUCUCAAAUACAACUCAAUUCAAUCUUAAUUUAAUCCUACUUAAAAUCCUAUUGGACUUCAUUCAAACUUUAAGCCAAAACUAAUUAAAUCUUAAAUCAAAUCCUAAAUCCUAAAUCAAAUCCUAAAGCUUAAAUCAAAUCCUAACUAAACCUUAAAUCCUAAACCAAAUCCUAAAUCCUAAACCAAACCCUAAAUCCUAAACCAAAUCCUAACCAAAUCCUAAAUCAAACCCUAACCAAACCCUAAAUAAAAUCCAAACCAAAUUCUAAAUCUUAAACUAAAUCCUAAACUCUAAAUCAAAUCUUGACCAAAUCCUAAAUCAAAUCCUAAUCAAAUCCUAACCCUAAAUCAAAUCCUAACCAAACUCUAAAGCUUAAAUCAAACCCUAGAUCCUAAAUCAAAUCCUAAUCAUGUCCUAAAUCAAACCCUAAUCAAAUCUUAAAUCAAAUUUUAAAUCCUAAAUUAAAUCCUAAUCAAACUCUAAAUCCUAAAUCAAAUUCUAAUCAAAUCCUAAAUCAAAUCCUAAACCCUAAAUCAAAUCCUUAUCAAAUCCUAACUCUAAAUCAAAUCCUAACUAAACUCUAAAU